Molecule: long non-coding RNA, 304 nt
Organism: Polistes dominula (European paper wasp)
Lineage: Eukaryota; Metazoa; Arthropoda; Insecta; Hymenoptera; Vespidae
Source: RefSeq, a predicted model, not a curated record
GUGCGUUCCAAAAGCUUCUUUCUUUCUUUCGACAGUAUCUCGCGAGAGAAAACGCGCUUAUUAAUCGUCUUAUUCUUUAUGAAACAUCAAUAUUGUUUUUUUUUUUUUUUUAAAUCACAUUUUUCCUAAUCAUCCAACGUGUUAUUAAUUGAAAUAUUAAAAAAACAAACAAACAAACAAACAUAUAUACAUCAUUGUAUUUAAAUACCUGUUGUUAUAUUAGUGAAUUAGUGUUAUAAAACCCACCCAUCCACCUACCUAAUCUGGUGCAAAAUAUUGUUGAAAAAUAUAUUUAAAAAAAAAA